UGGGGAAUUUUGGACAAUGGGGGAAACCCUGAUCCAGCCAUCCCGCGUGUGCGAUGAAGGCCUGCGGGUUGUAAAGCACUUUUGGCAGGAAAGAAACGUCAUGGGUUAAUACCCCGUGAAACUGACGGUACCUGCAGAAUAAGCACCGGCUAACUACGUGCCAGCAGCCGCGGUAAUACGUAGGGUGCAAGCGUUAAUCGGAAUUACUGGGCGUAAAGCGUGCGCAGGCGGUUCGGAAAGAAAGAUGUGAAAUCCCAGAGCUCAACUUUGGAACUGCAUUUUUAACUACCGGGCUAGAGUGUGUCAGAGGGAGGUGGAAUUCCGCGUGUAGCAGUGAAAUGCGUAGGUAUACGGAGGAACACCGAUAGCGAAGGCAGCCUCCUGGGAUAACACUGACGCUCAUGCACGAAAGCGUGGGGAGCAAACAGG
This 429-nucleotide ribosomal RNA is filed under the name Acidobacteriota bacterium. RNAcentral's name for it is "Acidobacteria bacterium partial 16S ribosomal RNA". It matches the Rfam family "Bacterial small subunit ribosomal RNA", at positions 355 to 776 of the family's 1533-position model. Lineage: Bacteria; Pseudomonadati; Acidobacteriota. The record is from RNAcentral.